Long non-coding RNA from Pteropus alecto (black flying fox), 1795 nucleotides. RefSeq lists it as uncharacterized. The transcript has 4 exons. NCBI's taxonomy places the organism in Eukaryota, Metazoa, Chordata, Mammalia, Chiroptera, Pteropodidae. The record is from RefSeq and is a predicted model, not a curated record.
GGGCGGCGGGGGCGCGAGCCCUUCGGGGUUGGAACCGGGCGGCCCGACCCGCCCACCUGCCCGCAGGCCGGGACUCGCCGGGACGCACCUCCGGUGCCAAACCGGCCGAGAACCUGCCCCUGGGCCACGACGCAGGACCGGGUCAACUCCACGCAUCCCUGCGAUCUGAGUUUAAUUUCCUUGGCCCGGUCAACGUGCGUGAAAGCACACGUGAAGCCCCGAGACCGGCGGGCACUUCUGUCGUUCCUCCCGGGGCGCUAUUAGCUGUGGCAGUGAGUCCGACCUCUGCGGUGCGUUCCCAGUGUUACCUGUGGGAAGUCAGCCUCAGCUCCUGUGUCAGCAACUGUACUAAUAAGAGCAAAAGACAGCAGAGGACUGAAAGCCUUGGCUCUGGAGCCAGAACACCUGGGGUGAAAUCUGGACCCUUAGUGGAGAAAGACUGGCUAUUUUAUUAUGAAUGGCACCACCACCCAGGAGAACAUGAAGCUAAUGCUCAAAAGCGCAAACUCCCUGAUCCAGGAUUCUGGGCGGGUUGUUAAGGGUAUGGGGUAACAAGUGUGCAGAAGCAAUGGCGAGAAAAGUAUUAAUUCAGGGACCUUGGAACUUGGCCAUUUAUGGUAAGGGGUGUCAACAGAGGAUCUUCCUAGACAACGGACCCUCCACUUCUGAAAAGGUUCCAGUGUUCAAGUUCUGUUUACGUCUCGGUUCGUUGGUUCUGUUGGGGGGCGGGGGGAACAGGGAGACAGUUCCAGUUGCAGCCGAAGGGCAGUUUUGAAAAUAACAAAAUGACAGUAAGUUCUUAUCAGUAAUUACUUUAAAGUGGAUUAAACUGUUCAAUCAAAAGGCAGAGAUUGGCAGAAUGAAUUUUUUAAAUGAUCCAAAUACAUACAGUCUACAAGAGACACACUUUAGAUCUGAAGACAAAAAAAAACUGAAAACAAAAGAAUGGGAAAAAAAUAUUCCAUGCAAAGAGUAACCAGAAGAAAGCUGGAUAGGCUAUAUAAAUAGCAGAUAAAAUAGACUUUAGGUCAAAAACUGUUACAAAAGAUAAAGAAAAACAUCUGUUUGGGUAGAGAUCAAUUUAACAAGACAUAAAAAUUACAAAUGUAUAUGCACCAAAAAAGAGCCCCAAAAUACAUGAAGCAAACCUUCACAGAAUUGAAAGGAGACUCAGUUCUACUAUAAUAGCUGGAUAUUUUAAUAGCCACUUUUAAUAGUAGAUAGAAGAAACAGAAGAUCGAAAAGAAAUAGCAAAUUUGAACAAUACUACAAAUCAAUUAUGCCUCACAAAUUCAGAACACUCGACAGCAGCUUUUUUGUUUUAUGUGCCUAAUGGCCAUUUCUAAUCUGUCCAAUCUGUGACCUAGUUUUUAAUCAUUUGUCUUUUUUAUAGUUCUAAGAGUUCCUUUAUAUAUUUUGGAUUCUGAACCCUUAUCAAAUACAUAAUUUGCAGAUAUUUUCUCCCAUCCUUUGGGGUUGUCAUUUUGCUUCCUUGGUGGUGCUAUUUAAAGCACAGAAGUUUUAGGCCUUUUGAGCCACGCUUCUCUUGCUCAGGCCCAUUUCCACAUCUGGAAGUGUACUUUCUAAUAAAACUUUUCUACUGUAAAAAAAAGUUUUAAAUUUUUAUGAAAUCAAUUUAUCAAUUUUAAAUCUUUUUGUAUUUGCAACACUUCUGUACAACUAAAAUUACUUCAAAAUUACAAACUUUGUAUAAAAAUGUAUGUAACAAGUUUAUAAGGCUACACUUCUACCAACAGGAAAUGGAAAUGAAAUUUUCAUUUGCUAUUCAACAUAA